GGACUACUGAGGAGUCCCAUACUAGGACGAAACGGCAGUCCAGUGC
RNAcentral lists this non-coding RNA (46 nucleotides) under Schistosoma margrebowiei. Lineage: Eukaryota; Metazoa; Platyhelminthes; Trematoda; Strigeidida; Schistosomatidae. The record is from RNAcentral.